Molecule: long non-coding RNA, 2171 nt
Organism: Bubalus bubalis (water buffalo)
Lineage: Eukaryota; Metazoa; Chordata; Mammalia; Artiodactyla; Bovidae
Exons: 3
Source: RefSeq, a predicted model, not a curated record
UACUCAUGUCCAUUGAGUCGGGGAUGCCAUCCAACCAUCUGAUCCUCUGUCAUCCCCUUCUGCUCCCACCUUCAGUCUUUUCCAAGGAGAUGAGUAGAAAGUACAUAUCUUUAAGAAGAGACUUGGAUUUGAAGAAGAAAGAUGUUUGGAAAGGAAAUAUCCCCUUAGAUUGUGUGUGGAUCCAGACAGGAAAAGUUCAUCUGGGAAGCAGGAAACAGAAUGUAAAACCCAGAUGAGAAUUUUAGGGAUAUUUGGAAUAAAAAGGUAUUUGGCAGCUUCCAUGGUUUAACCACCUCUUUUGCAGGAGAUCUGAUUCAACGGCUGUUUGCAAUUACUGUGUUUUUUUGUUGUAUGACAUGAUAGCAAGAGAAGAUGGAAAUAAUUAGAACUUAAUUUGGAUGCCAGAGUUCCAGAUUUCAGAUUGGAACGUCAUGCCUGUCCUUCAGUAUGAACACCUGGAAGAGUGCAUAAGAGGGAUAUGCGCCCAGGCAGGCUAAAUUUCUACUUGCAGUCAUGAUGUGAAUCAAACGCUACUGCAGGCCCAGCAUGGACCCAGAUUAUGUCACCCCCAGAGUGCCCACUGUGUGAUCCAGAAGACACUAGUAGUUUCUGGACUAGACACCACACCAUUGGAGGAAAAACAGCCUUCGGCCCAAAGAAAAUUAUAUUGAGAGAAGAAAUCGAAAGCCUUUUGAAGAAAAACUCAGAUUGCACAUGGGAUUGGUCAGGCAAGAAUGCUGGCGUGGCUUGUCAUUUCCCCCUCCAGGGGAUCUUCCUGAAGAGUGAGAGACGGAACCUGCAUCUCCUGCACUGGCAGGCAGUUUCUUUACCAUUGCGCCACCUGGGAGCCUUCACCAGUGUCACUUGCUGUAUCUAACAUUGUCCUUUGUGCUGAACUUGGGGGCUCUGAGAAUCAGUGUUAAUCUAAGCAAAUCUGCACCUACAUUUUUAAAAAAACCAUAAAUUGAAAACAUAAAUCUUUGCCAAAUCCUCUAGAGAUUAAUGUAUUACAUGUGGUCUAAACUUUAUAAAAGCUUUUUGAUUAAACCAGCAAAAAGUAAUUUAUUUAAAAAUAAAUAUCUGUACUCCCACUGUGUCACUGGGGACCUUUCAGUCCUGGUUUGGGUGAUUACAGCUGGAGCCAGUUGCAGCAGUGGAAGGGACCCUUGUUUUCAGCUUUUGCUCUUCAAGACCUGGGAGGAUUCGGGAGGUCAAGAAGUCAGAGCGAGACCAUAACCACCUCUCCUGGGACCUUGCUUGAGGCAGAAGUGGGGCUUCUCCGGGUGACCGAAAUCUCCCAGCUUUGCUGAAGGAAACCAGGCUCUGUGUUGACUUACAGGUGUUAGCAACUUAUUUUUCAAUAUUCUAAAAAUUUAUUGGGACAUCCAAAUCAUUUUGGAAAAUCAUCUGUCAACUCUAAGAUAAGGCAAAGAUGUACUGUAGAUUGAACUUUUCCUCUCUAGAUUUCUAGGUCAGUUUAAGGGUAUUUGAAACAAGCGUCCUAAGUGUUGUGAUUAAGCAGCUACAUUUCUUAGAAGAUUCCUCUGGUUUUUGAAAUCUCCUCUCCUGUCUGAGAGGCUUAAUACAAAUUUAGCUUGAUAAAUAUGUCUUGAAAAUGGACCAUUUCACCAGUCCUAUAUAUUAAUGGUUACUUGGGGCACAAACAUGUGCUCACUGGAGCCCUUUGACAGACAGACAGAUAGACACAGGGCUGACAACUAGCAGGUACCAACAUCCACUCUGGGCACCACUGCAGUCUGCCUUGAUCAGCUGGUACCUGGGCCUCAUCCAGAGUUCAGCACUCUGUUUGUGGCCCCCCAUCAUGGGUCUUGGCAGAUGUACUGUCUCAGCGCUGAAAUCUGGUUGAGCUCUUCUUCUCCCCAUUGCUGAUCAACCCAGUCCUUGUUGCCAGCCUUGACCUCAGCCAGUCUCCAGGGUCAAUCAGAGAUGCCAGUGAUGGAAGGAGAACCCAGUUUAUUUUUUUUCCUCAGGCGACCUCGCUCUCAUCACCCUGCCUUUGCACGAGGCCUCCAUUAGGGACCCACAAGCCGGCGCCCUGACACUCUGCAGGUCUCCUUCCCCACGGCCGCUCCCCCUCGGCCUGCCUGGCGCAUGCACACACAGGCACACCUGGGACGAGUUGUGACUUCAGCCCCGCUGCGUCCUCCCUG